GACGAACGCUGGCGGCGUGCUUAACACAUGCAAGUCGAACGGAAAGGCCCUGCUUUUGUGGGGUGCUCGAGUGGCGAACGGGUGAGUAACACGUGAGUAACCUGCCCUUGACUUUGGGAUAACUUCAGGAAACUGGGGCUAAUACCGGAUAGGAUCUCCUGCUGCAUGGUGGGGGUUGGAAAGUUUCGGCGGUUGGGGAUGGACUCGCGGCUUAUCAGCUUGUUGGUGGGGUAGUGGCUUACCAAGGCUUUGACGGGUAGCCGGCCUGAGAGGGUGACCGGCCACAUUGGGACUGAGAUACGGACCAGACUCCUACGGGAGGCAGCAGUGGGGAAUAUUGCACAAUGGGCGGGAGCCUGAUGCAGCAACGCCGCGUGCGGGAUGACGGCCUUCGGGUUGUAAACCGCUUUCGCCUGUGACGAAGCGUGAGUGACGGUAAUGGGUAAAGAAGCACCGGCUAACUACGUG
Molecule: ribosomal RNA, 468 nt
Filed under: uncultured bacterium
Lineage: Bacteria
Description: partial 16S ribosomal RNA
Rfam family: Bacterial small subunit ribosomal RNA
Source: RNAcentral